This 132-nucleotide ribosomal RNA is filed under the name uncultured Penicillium. Its description in RNAcentral is "partial small subunit ribosomal RNA". It matches the Rfam family "Eukaryotic small subunit ribosomal RNA", at positions 1675 to 1804 of the family's 1831-position model. The record is from RNAcentral. Lineage: Eukaryota; Fungi; Ascomycota; Eurotiomycetes; Eurotiales; Aspergillaceae.
GUCGCUACUACCGAUUGAAUGGCUUAGUGAGAUCUCCGGAUUGGCGUUAGGGAGCCGGCAACGGCACCCUUUGGCUGAGAAGUUGAUCAAACUUGGUCAUUUAGAGGAAGUAAAAGUCGUAACAAGGUUUCU